AAGUGAUUGAUUGAUUAAUAUUGUCUAAAUUCAGGGAUUGGUGAAUUCUAUGCAGUACCAUACAACCAUAUGGAUGUAUGUAAACCAGAGAGCAAAAAAUCCAUUUUAUUUAGAAAGCUGUACAAUAUGGUUUGGGAUACUCUGGACGAAGCAUCACCGUUUGAUAAAUAAACAACAGACCAAGUUCCACCGUUAGAUGAACAAAAAACAGUUGGUCAUUCUCCUUGCAGUCAUUCUUCAUAAGGAUCAAUCUUUGCAUGAUCGAUAAUAACGAAGGACAAUCCUUGUGCAGUUGAUCUUACAAUCUUCAAAUGAACGAUCUUCAUAUGAGCGUUGGUGCCUAGAGCAAUUUUACAGUGUCUUGAAUGAUGUCAUGUUAAGAAAUCAUAAUGGUCUUGUAAACCAUAUCCAAUAUUAUGAAGAGCUAACCAUGUAUUUCAAAUUCGCCAUUCGGGUGCAUUUUUCGACUAAAUUUUACGACAAAUUGUGCACCAAAACCUAAAUUUAGACUUUUUUAUAUGUGUAUUAUAUCUGUCUAGUGUCUGUCUAGUGUCUAUUCCCAUAGAGACGAGAAAUAGACUUGCAAUACUUGAAAACAUUUUAAUUAUAAAAAAUUACAUCAUUUAUAAUUUUCUUUAAAUUUAACCAACAAAGUAUAUCUGAUAUCUUCUAAACUAUCCAUCAAAAUUUUAGUAGAUUAAAAAAUUGAAGUGUAUGCAACGAAAUUUAAAUUUUUAUUAUUUUUGUUACCAAGUUAGAUUAUUGUGAUUAAACCCUACUGUGAUGGAAUAGUUUAUUGAAUAAAAAACUUACAUAUAAAACAA
Long non-coding RNA from Eurytemora carolleeae, 824 nucleotides. RefSeq lists it as uncharacterized. The record is from RefSeq and is a predicted model, not a curated record. NCBI's taxonomy places the organism in Eukaryota, Metazoa, Arthropoda, Copepoda, Calanoida, Temoridae. The transcript is spliced from 2 exons.